RNAcentral lists this transfer RNA (72 nucleotides) under Capra hircus (goat). It matches the Rfam family "tRNA". Rfam says of the family: Transfer RNA (tRNA) molecules are approximately 80 nucleotides in length. Lineage: Eukaryota; Metazoa; Chordata; Mammalia; Artiodactyla; Bovidae. The record is from Rfam by way of RNAcentral. RNAcentral also lists the same sequence under 1 other name.
UCCCUGGAAGCUCAGACAAUAAAGAAUCUGCCUGCCGUGCAGGAGACCCAGGUUCAAUCCCUGGUUCGGGAA